This 632-nucleotide ribosomal RNA is filed under the name Escherichia coli. RNAcentral's name for it is "bacterial LSU rRNA". It matches the Rfam family "Bacterial large subunit ribosomal RNA", at positions 1183 to 1798 of the family's 2925-position model. Lineage: Bacteria; Pseudomonadati; Pseudomonadota; Gammaproteobacteria; Enterobacterales; Enterobacteriaceae. The record is from RNAcentral.
UAAACCAUGCACCGAAGCUGCGGCAGCGACGCUUAUGCGUUGUUGGGUAGGGGAGCGUUCUGUAAGCCUGUGAAGGUGUGCUGUGAGGCAUGCUGGAGGUAUCAGAAGUGCGAAUGCUGACAUAAGUAACGAUAAAGCGGGUGAAAAGCCCGCUCGCCGGAAGACCAAGGGUUCCUGUCCAACGUUAAUCGGGGCAGGGUGAGUCGACCCCUAAGGCGAGGCCGAAAGGCGUAGUCGAUGGGAAACAGGUUAAUAUUCCUGUACUUGGUGUUACUGCGAAGGGGGGACGGAGAAGGCUAUGUUGGCCGGGCGACGGUUGUCCCGGUUUAAGCGUGUAGGCUGGUUUUCCAGGCAAAUCCGGAAAAUCAAGGCUGAGGCGUGAUGACGAGGCACUACGGUGCUGAAGCAACAAAUGCCCUGCUUCCAGGAAAAGCCUCUAAGCAUCAGGUAACAUCAAAUCGUACCCCAAACCGACACAGGUGGUCAGGUAGAGAAUACCAAGGCGCUUGAGAGAACUCGGGUGAAGGAACUAGGCAAAAUGGUGCCGUAACUUCGGGAGAAGGCACGCUGAUAUGUAGGUGAGGUCCCUCGCGGAUGGAGCUGAAAUCAGUCGAAGAUACCAGCUGGCUGCA